This 1922-nucleotide ribosomal RNA is filed under the name Hoferellus sp. 'alosae'. RNAcentral describes it as "SSU rRNA". It matches the Rfam family "Eukaryotic small subunit ribosomal RNA", at positions 152 to 1766 of the family's 1831-position model. The record is from RNAcentral. Lineage: Eukaryota; Metazoa; Cnidaria; Myxozoa; Bivalvulida; Myxobilatidae.
GGAAAUCUAGAGCUAAUACAUGUAGUUAAAUGGGUGGCGUCAAAACUAUCCAUAGCAUUUAUUAGAAUAAAACCGACUAUGGUGGGGGCGCAAUCUCCUGCCAUAAGGUGAAUCUAGAUAACUUUGCUGAUCGUAUGGCCUUGUGCCGGCGACAUUUCAAUUGAAUUUCUGCCCUAUCAACUUGUUGGUAAGGUAGUGGCUUACCAAGGUUACAACGGGUAACGGGGAAUCAGGGUUCGAUUCCGGAGAGGGAGCCUGAGAAAUGGCUACCACAUCCAAGGGAGGCAGCAGGCGCGCAAAUUACCCAAUCCAGAAACUGGGAGGUGGUGACGAGAAAUACUAGGUGGUUUCCUUUAUGGAUGCCAUACUGGAAUGGACGUAAUUCAAGUAAUUCGAUGAGUAACAACUGGAGGGCAAGUCUGGUGCCAGCAGCCGCGGUAAUUCCAGCUCCAGUAGUGUAUUUUAAAGUUGCUGCGUUUAAAACGCUCGUAGUUGGAUUACGCAGUGCAAGUUAGUAGAUUGGCAUCGCAGUUACAAAAAUCUAGCGAGCUUGUUAGUCUUUGCGGUUUACCCCAGAGGUUCGGCUUGUGAGCUAGAGUGCUGUGUGUUGAUUAACAGCUAGCUUGCACUACUUACGCGUGAGGAUGGUGGUUGAUCUUUAGUGCAUCGACCAUUGUGUCUCACGGAGUGUGCCUUGAAAAAAUCAGAGUGCUCAAAACAGGCUUUUGCUUGAAUGUUAAUAGCAUGGAACGAACAAUUGUGUAUUACGUGCUGUAGAGAGGGGUAUUUGUGGGCUUAUGUCUGCUUUUAUUUUCUUUCUAUGGUACAGCACCAACCACCAAUACCGGAUGUUGGUUUCCGUAUUGGGGUGAUGAUUAAAAGGAGCGGUUGGGGACACUAGUAUUUUGGCGCGAGAGGUGAAAUUCUUGGACCGCCAAAGGACUAACAAAUGCGAAAGCAUCUGUCAAGACCGUUUCCAUUAAUCAAGAACGAUAGUGAGAGGUUCGAAGACGAUCAGAUACCGUCCUAGUUCUCACUGUAAACCAUGCCGACCCGGGAUCAGCUUUGAGCUCUUUCAAAGGCUCGUGGUUGGUCCCCCUGGGAAACCUCAAGUUUUUAGGUUACGGGGGGAGUAUGGUCGCAAGGCUGAAACUUAAAGGAAUUGACGGAAGGGCACCACCAGGGGUGGAGCCUGCGGCUUAAUUUGACUCAACACGGGAAAACUCACCUGGUCAGGACAUCGAAAGGAUAGACAGACUGAUAGAUCUUUCUUGAUACGGUGGAUGGUGGUGCAUGGCCGUUCUUAGUUCGUGGAGUGAUCUGUCAGGUUGAUUCCGGUAACGAACGAGACCAUAAUCUCCAUUUAUGGGCCUGGAAAAGGCUGUGACGUAGGCGUUUGUAGGCAACUAUGGGCGUCGAAAUUGCAGUUGUAGGUUGGUUUCGUGUCCUUUGCUUAUUUCGCUACUGAGGGAUUAACCUCCUGAGGGAAACGGGAUGGGUGGAGAUUUCACUUAAUUUCCUUCCAGGUUGACAUUGUAGGAUGAAAGUCUUGCAUGUGCUAUGGAGAGACAACCAAAUAUACUUUUGAAAUUGGAGGAAGCGUUUGGCGAUAACAGGUCUGUGAUGCCCUUAGAUGUCCAGGGCCGCACGCGCGCUACAAUGAUAACAACAGCGAGUACCUGGGUCGAGAGACUUGGGUAAUCUUAUGAAUUGUUAUCGUGAUGGGGACUGAACAUUGUAAUUAUUGUUCACGAAAGAGGAAUCCCUAGUAAGUGCAUUUCAUUAGAAUGCGCUGAUUAAGUCCCUGCCCUUUGUACACACCGCCCGUCGCUACUACCGAGUGAAUCGUGUCAUGAUGCCUUGGGACUGGACGUCAUUUGGGUUUUCGGACUCGUAAUGAUGCUAGGAUCAAUGUAAAAUGG